GCGGGGAUCGCCUAGCCUGGUAGGGCGCUGGAUUGCUAAUCCAGUGCGCUUGCGCUCGGGGGUUCAAAUCCCCCUCCCCGCG
RNAcentral lists this transfer RNA (82 nucleotides) under Methanobacteriota archaeon. RNAcentral describes it as "Euryarchaeota archaeon tRNA-Ser". It matches the Rfam family "tRNA". From Rfam's summary of the family: Transfer RNA (tRNA) molecules are approximately 80 nucleotides in length. Their secondary structure includes four short double-helical elements and three loops (D, anti-codon, and T loops). Further hydrogen bonds mediate the characteristic L-shaped molecular structure. tRNAs have two regions of fundamental functional importance: the anti-codon, which is responsible for specific mRNA codon recognition, and the 3' end, to which the tRNAs corresponding amino acid is attached (by aminoacyl-tRNA synthetases). tRNAs cope with the degeneracy of the genetic code in two manners: having more than one tRNA (with a specific anti-codon) for a particular amino acid; and 'wobble' base-pairing, i.e. permitting non-standard base-pairing at the 3rd anti-codon position. The record is from RNAcentral. Lineage: Archaea; Methanobacteriati; Methanobacteriota. RNAcentral also lists the same sequence under 1 other name.